UAGCAUCAGGUUUCCUGGGUCAAGC
RNAcentral lists this non-coding RNA (25 nucleotides) under Rattus norvegicus (Norway rat). Lineage: Eukaryota; Metazoa; Chordata; Mammalia; Rodentia; Muridae. The record is from RNAcentral.